UUCUUUUUCCUUUACUACUUUUUAUAAAAUUGCAUUUCCUAUGUGAAUAUUCCCAACCCUGUAUAGCCACCAGCAGCCGCGGAGAACUGGGUUCCUGAAAAGAAAGCUGGGGCUGGAUGCGAAGGACAGACGAGAGAGGAAUGAAACAAAGACAGAGUUUCUGAGCAAGGCCCAGUGUUUAAUUCUUGAGUCUGGUUUUUAAAGGGAGGAAACCCAUCCCCCACUUUGCCAGGAUCUCAUCAGGAAAACAGGCUCAGCUGGUAGUGGCUUCUUGCAGGAAGCUGCAGCUGCAGCUUCACCUAGGUCAGAAGACCCUACCCCAGUUGGGCUAGCCAGCAGUGGCAAACAAGGUCUGCUUUAGCCUGCUCAAGGCUGGGGGAAGGGCACAAACCUGGUGGGACCAUGUGUUUCUAGGAUUCGAGAAAAGCAACAUAUAUAUGAGCUUUUGUCCCCCAACAACAACAAAAAAAAAUCACAUCUUCUUGGAAAAAUUUACCUUCAGUUACUGUAGGUUUCUCCUUUUCCUGGUACACCACAAACAGAAGAGGUGGGGGUAAGAGGCCCACUGUAACCCCCAACUGACCAGUACUACUUCAUAACUUGUGUCUGGACCCUGUAACAGCUGUCUUGCUUGUGGACAGAAACAAGGACCCAGUCCCACAACAGAAGUGACACUUUGAGAGCAAUCGAAGAAUAAAUAAUACAGAGCAUAUUAGCAGAAAAAACACAGCUCAACAAGGAAGACAGGCAUAGUUUAUUGAGUGGCCAUGACUGGAACCCCCAAACAACCCUCUAUGUCUCGCUGUGGACACAUGAGUGGUGGUGGAGGCCUUUAAUCCCAGCACUAAAGAGGCAGAAGCAGACAGAUACUGAUUGUGAGGCCAGCCUAGUCUACAGAGUGAGUUCCAGAACAGCUAGGGUUACACAGAGAAACCCCACCUUGAAAAUACUUU
RNAcentral lists this long non-coding RNA (953 nucleotides) under Mus musculus (house mouse). Its description in RNAcentral is "long non-coding RNA chr8:71951732-71952685". Lineage: Eukaryota; Metazoa; Chordata; Mammalia; Rodentia; Muridae. The record is from RNAcentral.